CGCGGCGGCCGUUGUGAGGGGCGGCGGGAGGAUGGCGGGGGGCGGCCGCCGGCCCCGCUGCCCCCCGGGCGCUCUCCUGGGCCUGGCGGCCGUGGUGGUGGCGGCGGGAUGGGUGAGAGCAGAACAGAAGGAAGAGCAAUCUAUUGAUUUAAUUGGAAAGAAUGAAGUUUAUGGUGACACCAGGCAUGAAGUGAAUGUGUAUGUUAAGGUGUUCACAAACAGCCCGUUCCUGGUCUGUAUGGAUUUGGCUCUUUCUCAAGAAAGAAUAAUAGAUCCCAACUACUUGUGGACGGGUCCAGAUGGAAGAGAUUUACAAGGGCAAAGCUAUGUGAAUCUGACAGAGACAGGGAAACUGAUGGUGAUGGGUUUCAUGGUGUCAAUGUCUGGUGCCUACACUUGUACUCUCUCCCACAAAGUCAUCGAAACCACAACACAGGAGGAAACAGAAAUGGUUGAAGCCUAUAAAUUCAUGGUUUAUGAUUCACACCCAAGCUAUUUCCUCCCAGCCUACAGGGAAGCUGACCAUGCCUAUCAGGUGUCUGUCCGCUUUAGCACAACGGGAUGCAAGCUGAGAAGCAACGGCUUGUUCAUCGAGGUGCUAAAAAAAAUCCUCAACAGCACCAUCUCCCACCUGACCUGCCACAUCACAGAGGCAUCCUACAAGUGCCACUCUAUCAGGACACCAAAGAACGGCCUCCAGUAUGAGCUGUUUGUUAAUUUUCUAGUCAAUCCAUUUGCACCAGGAUGGGAAGGAGUUUGCCACGGGGUUCUUUAUGACUGUGAAGAUGUGACAAACAGGAGAGUCCGACAGGCAGCAGAGCAAAUUGGGAAGUUUUUCCAUCAGCUGAGGCACGUUUUAAAGCACGAGUUUCAGGCUGUUCCUACAAUCCAGUACGUGGACAACAGCUUCUCCAUGACUCCCAUCGACAGCUGUCAGCCAGGUUUUGGGAAAAGCCACCACACCCACCAGAACUGCGCCAGCUGCUGCGCCUGGACAUGAGGAGAAAGGAAAAUCAGGCCUCCCAAGACAAAAGAGAGGAAUAAAGAGGGAAUAUUCCAGAGGGAAGCAGAGAGUCUGCAGAGCCUCUUCCACUUCCUCCUGCUGCAUCUUCCCCCUCAGCUGCACCAAACCCUCGUGCAGGGCCCGGCUGGCCCCAGGUGCUGUAGGAACAGACGAUCCUCUUACACCAGCUGUGAAUUCCCGACGAGUUCACCGGAUGAUACAAAUUGCCAAAGCACUGAGCUAAUGGGAACGUUUUCUUCCCAGAGCAACCUCACCCCAACCUGCUUUGGAAGGUUAGCUGCUGGAUCUGCAGCGAUCCAUCACCCUGCUCACAGAACCUCCUGGAUCUCAGCACGUACUGACAGCACACGAGAGCUUUGAAACAUCCACAAAUGGCAAAAAUAACAGGAAUAAUCUGCCAGCUGGAAGCUGCAGCCCAUUGUUUUCCCAUCAAAGCUGCCUGGAACAACCCACUUGAGAAACACUUAAGGAACACGUGUUCAGACAUUCACUGCCUGCAAGCAGUGAUGGGACUCGUCCAUCGGGUGACAGUGACACUUUGGCUCCGGUGGGAAAGUUGUCUUGUAACUCCCUGCAGCAGCUUCAUUAACCCACAAUCGAGAUGUUCCUCUAAAUUUAAGCCAAGAGGAGUUGAAGGAGCUACAGACCUGCCCAGGACACAACUCAUGACCCCUACUCACAGGUGAUAAGGAGAGGGGCUGUGGGAAGCAGGCAGAGCAGGUGCCCUGGGGUUGGCACAUCCCAGGUACUCAUCACACCUGGCAUGGGUGUGGUGCAGCCCUGGCUAAUCCAUUCCCCAGGAAUUCCUCCAAGGACACAACCAGGAACCGUUUCGGUGGAAAGCUGCUUGAAAACAAAGCUUGACCAAGAGUCAGGGGUGUUCCAAGAGUGCCCAGGUGACACUGAAAGUGCCACAGAUACAGGUCCCUGGUGCUUCCACAGGAGGAUGAAGCUGAGCCCCAGACCAUGGAAUCUGAUGGUCCUGGGUCAUCUGAGACAUGAGAAAUACCUGGAAAUACAACAUUUCCCUCUGAGAGUGAAAACUUUGAGGGUCACACAAUUUUAUUAAUUGGUACAACUUUAUCCUAAAAGAACAGCUGUUGGAAAAUGAACCCUGGACUCAGCCAUGCCUGCCUUGGACGAGUGAUGAGAAGGAAAAUUACCAGGGAGUCUGGAGGGGAGUGCGUGGCUGGCUGAACCACUGAGCUCUCAACCACAGGCACAGGAAGUGCUAUUGUGAUUUUUAACUCUGCUUUGUUUUCCUACCCACUGAAAUUAAAUUUUCUCCUGCCCAAGCCCAGUGACCACAUGAUGUGCCCAGCAGCCUUCCUAGAACCACUGGCAUCAUCAAUUAAUGAGUCCUGUGCAGGCAGUGAACAUGGAUGAUUCAUUAUUGGCAGCAAUGCAGCUGUACAUGGAUUUUUUUGGGGGAUGAAAGAAAUAAAUAAGGUCCCUGAGUGAAA
RNA transcript from Vidua macroura (Pin-tailed whydah), 2487 nucleotides. It is a transcript of the gene named zona pellucida binding protein 2, with no coding region annotated. Lineage: Eukaryota; Metazoa; Chordata; Aves; Passeriformes; Viduidae. The record is from RefSeq and is a predicted model, not a curated record. The transcript has 10 exons.